This 396-nucleotide ribosomal RNA is filed under the name uncultured bacterium. Its description in RNAcentral is "bacterial SSU rRNA". It matches the Rfam family "Bacterial small subunit ribosomal RNA", at positions 29 to 429 of the family's 1533-position model. The record is from RNAcentral.
AUUGAACGCUGGCGGCAUGCCUUACACAUGCAAGUCGAACGGCAGCACGGGGGCAACCCUGGUGGCGAGUGGCGAACGGGUGAGUAACACAUCGGAACGUGCCUGGUAGUGGGGGAUAGCUCGGCGAAAGCCGGAUUAAUACCGCAUACGACCUACGGGCGAAAGCGGGGGAUCGCAAGACCUCGCGCUAUCGGAGCGGCCGAUGUCAGAUUAGGUUGUUGGUGGGGUAAAGGCCUACCAAGCCGACGAUCUGUAGCUGGUCUGAGAGGACGACCAGCCACACUGGGACUGAGACACGGCCCAGACUCCUACGGGAGGCAGCAGUGGGGAAUUUUGGACAAUGGGCGCAAGCCUGAUCCAGCCAUGCCGCGUGCGGGAAGAAGGCCUGGUGUAACG